Long non-coding RNA from Sorghum bicolor (sorghum), 446 nucleotides. RefSeq lists it as uncharacterized. The transcript is spliced from 3 exons. The record is from RefSeq and is a predicted model, not a curated record. NCBI's taxonomy places the organism in Eukaryota, Viridiplantae, Streptophyta, Magnoliopsida, Poales, Poaceae.
AUGAAGGUAGAACAAUUUAUUUUUUAUGCUUGAUUUGCCUAUGGACACUUUGUUAGUUUGAGUUGGAUGCUAUGUAUGUGGAAUUUGGUCAAGCAGCUUUGUACAUUGACAUUGCCUUAUGUUUUGGCUUCACUGGGGCUUGGUGGUGAAAUCAUAUGGUGUUGGCAUCUGAAACUGGUGGUAUAACACAAGGGAUUGGAACAUAUCAGUCUGGCAAGCUGUUGCCAGAGUUGUUCUUCACCAUGGAGACAGUCCACAUUGGAAGCAAACCAUGAUAAAGGUUCACUUUACCACUUUUUUCGUAUUCUGUAGAGGUCGAUGUUGUGACGUAUUAAGAAUUGUUAAGGCUAUCCAUGUAGAACGAGCUACACUUUGAUCAACUUUAUAGCAAGUGAUGAAUUUGAGUAGUUACUAUCGGCAGUUGGAAAAUAACAAAGAACACAGGA